This 1439-nucleotide ribosomal RNA is filed under the name uncultured bacterium. RNAcentral describes it as "bacterial SSU rRNA". It matches the Rfam family "Bacterial small subunit ribosomal RNA". The record is from RNAcentral.
AGGGUUUGAUCAUGGCUCAGAACGUACGCUGGCGGCACGCCUAAUACAUGCAAGUCGAACGAAGUAGCAAUACUUAGUGGCAGACGGGUGAGUAACAUGUAGGUAUCUUCCCUUUGGUGAGGAAUAACACGAGGAAACUUGUGCUAAUACCUCAUAAGUCUUUACAGAGAAAGCUUUAUGCGCCAUUGGAUGAGCCUGCACUUGAUUAGUUUGUUGGUGGGGUAAUGGCCUACCAAGACAAUGAUCAAUAGCUGAUUUGAGAGGAUGAUCAGCCACAUUGGGACUGAGACACGGCCCAAACUCCUACGGGAGGCAGCAGUAGGGAAUCUUGCACAAUGGGGGAAACCCUGAUGCAGCGAUGCCGCGUGAGUGAAGAAGGCCUUUGGGUUGUAAAGCUCUUUCGUCGGGGAAGAAAAUGACUGUACCCGAAUAAGAAGGUCCGGCUAACUUCGUGCCAGCAGCCGCGGUAAUACGAAGGGACCUAGCGUAGUUCGGAAUUACUGGGCUUAAAGAGUUCGUAGGUGGUUAAAAAAGUUGGUGGUGAAAUCCCAGAGCUUAACUCUGGAACUGCCAUCAAAACUUUUUAGCUAGAGUAUGAUAGAGGAAAGCAGAAUUUCUAGUGUAGAGGUGAAAUUCGUAGAUAUUAGAAAGAAUACCAAUUGCGAAGGCAGCUUUCUGGAUCAUUACUGACACUGAGGAACGAAAGCAUGGGUAGCGAAGAGGAUUAGAUACCCUCGUAGUCCAUGCCGUAAACGAUGUGUGUUAGACGUUGGAAAUUUAUUUUCAGUGUCGCAGCGAAAGCAAUAAACACACCGCCUGGGGAGUACGACCGCAAGGUUAAAACUCAAAUGAAUUGACGGGGACCCGCACAAGUAGUGGAGCAUGUGGUUUAAUUCGAAGAUACGCGCAGACCCUUACCAACACUUGACAUGUUCGUCGCGACUUUAAGAGAUUAAAGUUUUCGGUUCGGCCGGACGAAACACAGGUGCUGCAUGGCUGUCGUCAGCUCGUGUCGUGAGAUGUUGGGUUAAGUCCCGCAACGAGCGCAACCCUCACUUUUAGUUGCCAUCAUUUAGUUGGGCACUCUGAAAGAACUGCCAGUGAUAAGCUGGAGGAAGGUGGGGAUGACGUCAAGUCCUCAUGGCCCUUACGUGUUGGGCUACACACGUGCUACAAUGGCAUUUACAAUAGGAAGCAAAACGGCGACGUUAAGCAAAUCCUAAAAAAAUGCCUCAGUUCGGAUUGUACUCUGCAACUCGAGUACAUGAAGCUGGAAUUACUAGUAAUCGCGGAUCAGCGCGCCGCGGUGAAUACGUUCCCGGGUCUUGUACACACCGCCCGUCACACCAUGGGAGUUGGUUCUACCUUAAGGCAAAGGUUAAAAACUUUGACCACGGUAUAGUCAGCGACUGGGGUGAAGUCAUAACAAGGUAGCCGUA